RNAcentral lists this ribosomal RNA (481 nucleotides) under uncultured bacterium. RNAcentral's name for it is "partial 16S ribosomal RNA". It matches the Rfam family "Bacterial small subunit ribosomal RNA", at positions 28 to 523 of the family's 1533-position model. The record is from RNAcentral.
GACGAACGCUGGCGGCGUGCCUAACACAUGCAAGUCGAACGGAGAUAUGAUUUCGGUUGUAUCUUAGUGGCGAACGGGUGAGUAACGCGUGAGCAACCUGACUCUUAGAGGGGGAUAACACCCGGAAACGGGUGCUAAUACCGCAUAAGACCACGACAUGGCAUCAUGACGAGGUCAAAGGAGCAAUCCGCUGAGAGAGGGGCUCGCGUCCCAUUAGAUAGAUGGCGGGGUAACGGCCCACCAUGUCAACGAUGGGUAGCCGAGCUGAGAGGCUGAUCGGCCACACUGGAGCUGUGACACGGUCCAGACUCCUCCGGGAGGCAGCAGUGGGGAAUAUUGGGCAAUGGGCGCAAGCCUGACCCAGCAACGCCGCGUGAGGGAAGAAGGCUUUCGGGUUGUAAACCUCUGUCCUUGGUGACGAAACAAAUGACGGUAGCCAAGGAGGAAGCCCCGGCUAACUACGUGCCAGCCGCCGCAGUAA